This 433-nucleotide ribosomal RNA is filed under the name uncultured bacterium. Its description in RNAcentral is "partial 16S ribosomal RNA". It matches the Rfam family "Bacterial small subunit ribosomal RNA", at positions 29 to 507 of the family's 1533-position model. The record is from RNAcentral.
AACGAACGCUGGCGGCAUGCCUAACACAUGCAAGUCGAACGAGACCUUCGGGUCUAGUGGCGCACGGGUGCGUAACGCGUGGGAACCUGCCCUUAGGUUCGGAAUAACUCCCCGAAAGGGGUGCUAAUACCGGAUAAUGUCUUCGGACCAAAGAUUUAUCGCCUUUGGAUGGGCCCGCGUUGGAUUAGCUAGUUGGUAGGGUAAAAGCCUACCAAGGCGACGAUCCAUAGCUGGUCUGAGAGGAGGAUCAGCCACACUGGGACUGAGACACGGCCCAGACUCGUACGGGAGGCAGCAGUGGGGAAUAUUGGACAAGGGGCGAAAGCCUGAUCCAGCAAUGCCGCGUGAGUGAUGAAGGCCUUAGGGUUGUAAAGCUCUUUUACCCGGGAUGAUAAUGACAGUACCGGGAGAAUAAGCGCCGGCUAACUACGUG